This is a long non-coding RNA of Acanthaster planci (crown-of-thorns starfish), 1217 nucleotides long. The record is from RefSeq and is a predicted model, not a curated record. Lineage: Eukaryota; Metazoa; Echinodermata; Asteroidea; Valvatida; Acanthasteridae.
UGCAUAUUGUCACGCUAGAACCAUUCACCUGCAUGGGGGAAUUUUAAAAGAGACAGAAGAAAGAAAAACAGAAUGUCUAGGACAUUCCAGAUGGGUUUGGCGGCAUUGAAACAGUUCCCCCUCGGUGCGGUCGGAGAAAACAAAAACGAAGGGUCGGUCAGCAUAGAUAACCAUUACGGACACCAUUAUACAAGCUCCAGGAGCCUGAUGAGAGUAGUCCAAACCUAGAGCAAGUUGGCUAACCCUGCAUGAGCGUCAUGUUUAACCCCAGAUCGAUGACACGGACCGUUCAUGUACUUCUCACAUCAGACGAUCCCUGAAGAAUGGGCACUAACUGACGUCACAACUAGAACGUCACUUCAGGGCUCCUCGGACUCCAAAGUACACCGUCUUAACUGACAGCUCUUCAAACUGAAAGGAAAGAAAACAGGAACGUCUACAUGUAGUGUACUCUAGACCACGAAGACAUUAUUUCUCUUCAGCUGAUCACAGUUCAGUAAACAGCAUUUUCAGAGUAUCGGGCUCGUUUUGCUUGUUAUAUACUGUGUGCUGUGGUCUCUCUUUAGGGGACACUAUCGGGAAAUGCAGGGGACAUCUGUCUUGUGAAAUUUCAUAAUGGUGAUCGGACCAACGAUGGACUAACUGAGACACUUCCCCUCCCGUCAGCAGCUCUUCUGUGUUGUCUAAGUUCUAACCCCCUCACCCCACUCCACCCCAAGGCUCGAGUGCAUGAAUUCACCCAAGACCCUGUAUUUCUGAGCAGAUUGGCACAAGCAAGGAGUUUUUAAUACAGGAAAGCAUUUCUUCCCACAUUUUUGACGGAUUAUAUUAUACACGCUUCAAAUUUGGUUUAAUGCAAAGGUUAAUUAGUAUAGUCUGUGGUGUUCUUUAGGCACAGUACACGUUUUUUGAAAAAUUGUAUUGUGAGUGGCUGUACACAGUAUUUCUGUAUGUUUGUUUGUGUUCGUUAUUUGUGCCAAAACACAGUUUUUCAUCGCAAGGUAUCAGGAGGAAGUAAUAUAUAAAAUAUUGAAAAUAAGUUAUACACAAUGAGCUUGACAUCAUAAUAUACAUGUAUUUCUCUGGGUAUUAGUAUUUCACAAUUAGUUUUCCCGAAGUUUUCAUGAGUCAUAUCCGGUGUUUUGUUACACAUUUCAGACAAGUUGAGGAGGAAAUAAAAGUCUAAAAUAAACGUGAAAUAACAACACUGAGUAGAA